This 460-nucleotide ribosomal RNA is filed under the name uncultured bacterium. RNAcentral describes it as "partial 16S ribosomal RNA". It matches the Rfam family "Bacterial small subunit ribosomal RNA", at positions 338 to 795 of the family's 1533-position model. The record is from RNAcentral.
CCUACGGGAGGCAGCAGUGAGGAAUAUUGGUCAAUGGACGAGAGUCUGAACCAGCCAAGUAGCGUGAAGGAUGACUGCCCUAUGGGUUGUAAACUUCUUUUAUAUGGGAAUAAAAUGUUCCACGUGUGGGAUUUUGUAUGUACCAUAUGAAUAAGGAUCGGCUAACUCCGUGCCAGCAGCCGCGGUAAUACGGAGGAUCCGAGCGUUAUCCGGAUGUAUUGGGUUUAAAGGGAGCGUAGGUGGAUUGUUAAGUCAGUUGUGAAAGUUUGCGGCUCAAACGUAAAAUUGCAGUUGAAACUGGCAGUCUUGAGUACAGUAGAGGUGAGCGGAAUUCGUGGUGUAGCGGUGAAAUGCUUAGAUAUCACGAAGAACUCCGAUUGCGAAGGCAGCUCACUGGACUGCAACUGACGCUGAGGCUCGAAAGUGUGGGUAUCAAACAGGAUUAGAUACCCGUGUAGUC